UCAGGAUGAACGCUAGCGGCAGGCUUAACACAUGCAAGUCGAGGGGCAUCGGGAGUAGCAAUACUGCCGGCGACCGGCGCAAGGGUGCGUAACGCGUGAGCAACAUGCCCGUAUCAGGGGGAUAAUCCAUGGAAACGUGGUCUAAUACCCCAUAGUAAUUAUGUAAGGCAUCUUAUAUAAUUUAAAGCUUUGGUGGAUACGGAUUGGCUCGCGUGACAUUAGCUAGAUGGUAAGGUAACGGCUUACCAUGGCUACGAUGUCUAGGGGUUCUGAGAGGAAGGUCCCCCACACUGGAACUGAGACACGGUCCAGACUCCUACGGGAGGCAGCAGUGAGGAAUAUUGGACAAUGGAUGGAAAUCUGAUCCAGCCAUGCCGCGUGCCAGGAAGACGGCCCUAUGGGUUGUAAACUGCUUUUGUAUGGGAGCAAUAAGGGCUACGCGUAGUCCGAUGAGAGUACCAUACGAAUAAGCACCGGCUAACUCCGUGCCAGCCGCGGC
RNAcentral lists this ribosomal RNA (499 nucleotides) under uncultured bacterium. RNAcentral describes it as "bacterial SSU rRNA". It matches the Rfam family "Bacterial small subunit ribosomal RNA", at positions 24 to 518 of the family's 1533-position model. The record is from RNAcentral.